AGCCCUGCAUUAUUGAUGGCGGCGCCACCGCCACCGCCAGCGGCAGCCACUAGUGCAGGUGAUGAUCACUAAAGGAAAAAAAAAAAAAAAUACCCCUACUGGUACUACGUAUUUCAAUUAAAGAACAAGAAUCAAUGAGUACUGCAAACCUCGUUAGAACUACUCGUUUUAGUAUAAUUUACCUGCAAUAUAUUUAUAUUUAUAUCUAUGAGUACUUAAUCUUGUUUUAUUUUUAUCUGUGUUGUUAAAUUUAAGGAACUCUAUUUAGACUGUAGCAGUAGUAAUAAUUAGAAGAAGAAGUAGCUAGUAUAAACAAGUUUGUGACUUAGCGUCCAAUUUGUCACAGAUCUGUAGCUUGCUAGGAGAAAAGCCAUUUAUGACGAGUAAUAGAUUUGGAGAUCAUGUUGUGUGUCUUUUUAUUGAAUUCCAUUUCUUUUGUUUCUUCUUUUUUUUUUUUUUUAUGGUUUUAUAAUAAUAAUGGCUACUGGCAAAUCAUCAUCUAGGCAUUAAAAAAGGGUCUGUGUCAGAUUUGUCAAGCACUAUAUUUGUAUGCAUUGUUUAUUUUUAGUAUCAUACACCUAUUUGCUUGUGAGAUACUGAGACUCUAUUCUGCUUUUCUUUCUUUCCUUCCUUUUCUUUUCUAUAGAAUGAUCAAUAGUAAUUAAAUAGUAGAGACACUGCAAAACUGUGCUGGAUACAUAGUAUCUUAUUCUUUAAAAUGGAGUCUCUGCAACUAGUUUUCAUUCUUUGUACAGGUGAAAGAACUAUAACUAUAAGUCUAAUCUUUCUUUGGUAUUAUAUAAAUUCUGGCAGUAGAUAUUAGGAGGAGUCGUUUUUGCCUUUGAUUUGUGUGUGGGCUCAUUAAUUUUAUUUUACAAAAUCUACAUGAUCCAAUUUAUCUGUUGGAUCAUAUCAAAUCCUGGAUGUCCCCUAAAGAGGGGUUUAUGAUUAAAUAAAUCAGGAGUCCAUUAUCACAUGAACCCUAGCUAGUAAACGGUGUAAUCUAGUUAGUUAAUCCAUCAUUAAAGUGAUUAAUAUAUCAAAGUUGACAACCAACUAGUUAUACGCAUGUAUGUAUUUGUCUGCUACUGCUGUUUAAUGUAAUUAGUUUCUAGUUCUAGACCACAUAAAUAUGGUGUUUGUCCUCAAAAAGCAACAUUAAUGUCAUUUUUUCAGUAUAUUAUUGAAAGACAAUCACUUCACUGCACUUUCUAAAUUCUUAUUGAGUAUGUUGUUUGCUCUUAUUACUGGUUUUUUGGCUUUUUUCUUGCUAAAGUUUGUUGAUAUCUUCAAUUUCAUGUGCUAACUCAAACAUUUCAAUUAAAGAACAAGAAUCAAUGAGUACUGCAAACCUCGUUAGAACUACUCGUUUUAGUAUAAUUUACCUGCAAUAUAUUUAUAUUUAUAUCUAUGAGUACUUAAUCUUGUUUUAUUUUUAUCUGUGUUGUUAAAUUUAAGGAACUCUAUUUAGACUGUAGCAGUAGUAAUAAUUAGAAGAAGAAGUAGCUAGUAUAAACAAGUUUGUGACUUAGCGUCCAAUUUG
Molecule: long non-coding RNA, 1543 nt
Filed under: Jatropha curcas
Lineage: Eukaryota; Viridiplantae; Streptophyta; Magnoliopsida; Malpighiales; Euphorbiaceae
Description: long non-coding RNA (JCUR_LNC001013)
Source: RNAcentral